GACGAACGCUGGCGGCGUGCCUAAUACAUGCAAGUAGAACGCUGAAGGAGGAGCUUGCUCUUCUGGAUGAGUUGCGAACGGGUGAGUAACGCGUAGGUAACCUGCCUGGUAGCGGGGGAUAACUAUUGGAAACGAUAGCUAAUACCGCAUAACAGUAGAUGUUGCAUGACAUUUGCUUAAAAGGUGCAAUUGCAUCACUACCAGAUGGACCUGCGUUGUAUUAGCUAGUUGGUGGGGUAACGGCUCACCAAGGCGACGAUACAUAGCCGACCUGAGAGGGUGAUCGGCCACACUGGGACUGAGACACGGCCCAGACUCCUACGGGAGGCAGCAGUAGGGAAUCUUCGGCAAUGGACGGAAGUCUGACCGAGCAACGCCGCGUGAGUGAAGAAGGUUUUCGGAUCGUAAAGCUCUGUUGUAAGAGAAGAACGAGUGUGAGAGUGGAAAGUUCACACUGUGACGGUAGCUUACCAGAAAGGGACGGCUAACUACGUG
This 495-nucleotide ribosomal RNA is filed under the name uncultured bacterium. RNAcentral describes it as "partial 16S ribosomal RNA". It matches the Rfam family "Bacterial small subunit ribosomal RNA", at positions 28 to 507 of the family's 1533-position model. The record is from RNAcentral.